CUGAAGAAAGGCGACGUGGUGCUCAACUGCUACAGGUGUGCCCGUGGCUCCACCUCCCUGGAGUCUUUCCAUCUUCACCUGACUAGGUUUAUCCCAGGUGUGCAAGAUGUAGCCGAUUAGGCUGACGAGGGACGCGUGGGUCCACCUGAUGCUCCUUCAAAAUGACCUGGCUCUUUUUUCUACGUAGGAGAGAGCAGCGAGGGCAAGAUGACGUCCUUCUCAGUGCCUCCCGUUCAAUCUUGAGCGGCGUGCCUCUUUGAAGGACUUUAAAGUUCAUAUUCUGGCUUUUGUUUUGUUUCACUCUUUGGUUGAAUUUGUAGCGCUGGCUUUGAAAAGUAAAAUAAGUGAACUGGCUCCAUGCCUCCUCUACAUUAUUUCUCACUUGUGAUGUGAGCGUAACACUCCUUUUGUAAUGUAUGUCUGGUUGUAAUGGAAAUUGUGUUAUAACAGGAGGAGCAUGGCAUAUAAUUCUGUGACCUGGGGUCCUGACUUUUUUGUGUUCAUGUAUUUAUCCAUCAGGAACCAGUG
Molecule: long non-coding RNA, 528 nt
Organism: Neoarius graeffei (lesser salmon catfish)
Lineage: Eukaryota; Metazoa; Chordata; Actinopteri; Siluriformes; Ariidae
Exons: 2
Source: RefSeq, a predicted model, not a curated record